This 385-nucleotide long non-coding RNA is filed under the name Homo sapiens (human). RNAcentral describes it as "HSALNT0308794". The record is from RNAcentral. Lineage: Eukaryota; Metazoa; Chordata; Mammalia; Primates; Hominidae.
AUCUCAAAAUCAGCAGCUUUGGUAGUGCUGUGACUUUCGGUUUCUCUGAAAGUGUUCCUCAAAGAAGCCAGUAUUUGAAUUGUUUGCUACUCAGCCACGAAGAGAUAAGAAGCCUGUGUCAGAAUGCAUGUGAACACGCUGCUUGCUUCCUAGAAGCCUUGCUUUGAAAAAGAAGGUCUGCCCAUCCACAUCAUUUUGGCUGGCCCAGAAUACUCAGUACCUCUCAAUGACCCUCAGACGCUGUAGGAAGAGGAUUGGUUCACCUUUUAACCCAGAAUUUCUCACAUUGAAUGGACAGGAUGCAUUCCAAGAGGCCAGAGUAUGUGCAUCUCAGCUCCUGAUGGUUUCCACCACCACCAUUACUUUCUCUAUGUCAAGAUACCUG